Strongylocentrotus purpuratus (purple sea urchin) is the source of this 923-nucleotide long non-coding RNA. RefSeq lists it as uncharacterized. The record is from RefSeq and is a predicted model, not a curated record. NCBI's taxonomy places the organism in Eukaryota, Metazoa, Echinodermata, Echinoidea, Camarodonta, Strongylocentrotidae. The transcript is spliced from 3 exons.
CAGAUUUACGCACCCUCACAACGAUCACAGCGUUACUGUUAUCCCUCGUCCAAUCAGUGCUAUCAGUAUACUGCUAUUCUUGUAUGAGUAUGAGAACACGAAGCAACUCUUCGUACAACGUUCCGGACCGUCCCGAUGCUGCCUGCGAAAGCAACCGAAAUUUAACGGAUAUUACCGAAUGCCAAAUGGGCGGCUGUAUGAUUAUGAACACAACAUUCAAGUACAAUUUCGACUUAUAUGGUGAGGUAUACACGCGGUUUUUCAUUCGAUCAUGCGGCUACGAGAUGGACAAGUGCCUCGACGAUCAAGAUCUUCAGCCCUUCAUUGGAGAAUACGAAAAGGACAUCAACGCGGACGUCGAAAACGGGACGUUUCUCGGCUUCAAGGGAACCGUCUGCUUUUGUACCGGGCCAGCUUGCAAUACUGGGAACGCACUUAGCCCCAGCCCGGUCCCACUUAUUGCAGUUGGUGUUGUACUUUUAUUGUGUCAAGCAAUCACAUGGCGACCUUAAACUUGGCAUUUUAUUAUCCCCACGAAAAUACCCUGCGAAAACAUUCUAAACGUGAUAAAUCAACCUUAAAAAUGGCCGGGUAGUGACAACAUUGUCAAAAUUAUAGAGGUAACACACUAAACAUGCUGGAUCCAUGCAUUUUUAAUUUAGUGUUCAAAGUGUUAAUCUACUAUGUUAAAACUGUUGUCAUUACUCGGCACUUUUAAAUGUGGUUUUACCAUUUGUGUCAUUUGUGGAACAGGCGACAUGCCUAUAGUCAACGCCGAGCCGAGGAACACAAAAAUCUUCUUGUGACGUGAAUACACGUUCAUGAAGCAUUCAUUCGAUCCAACGCAGUAAUGACUGUAACUACAGUAAAUUCGUAUCGUCAGACAAAACAUAUGUGCAUGUGAUCAAUGGUGUAAUAGUACA